GCCUUGAAUUCCGAUUUACAAAACAGUUCUUCUUCAAAUAUGUUUACGCGUGUAACAUUACACCUCAUAGUAAUCAGUACAAACACCAAACAAAAAACACAAUGUAGUGAACAGAUUGAUAAAACACAGUCCUUUUUGAAGGUUUCUCAGCAGACAACUGAAUAUUUAUUGUGUUUUAUGUAGAACACAACUAUUGUAAUCAUUACCUUUGAAGUUUAUUUUCGUCAUUGGAAUAUAGUAGUCCAUCCACGAUCCAAAUAUGAUGGACAAUGGAAUCAGAAUUUGAAUUGAUAUGGAAAGAAGAAAUAUAGGCAUUUGCUAUAUACAGGAAAAGAUAUAUUAAUAAUUAUUACUAGGC
This 358-nucleotide long non-coding RNA is filed under the name Mytilus galloprovincialis (Mediterranean mussel). Lineage: Eukaryota; Metazoa; Mollusca; Bivalvia; Mytilida; Mytilidae. The record is from RNAcentral.